RNAcentral lists this unclassified non-coding RNA (219 nucleotides) under Hevea brasiliensis (rubber tree). The record is from RNAcentral. Lineage: Eukaryota; Viridiplantae; Streptophyta; Magnoliopsida; Malpighiales; Euphorbiaceae.
GUCUGAACUCAUACCAUAAUGAAGGUCCCAGUUAGAAUAGCUGGUAAAGUCUGUUAAGCAUUUAAUUGGAGGCUUGGGAAGAAGUCUUUCAUUCAUCAUGACUAGAUGGACUCGAGGGCUAGUGGAGUUCAAAAGGAAAAAGAAGCCAAAAGAAAUGGUUUAAGUUGCGUUUCAAGCUCUCUUAGUAAUUUUGAAUGGCAUUUAUUAACUUGUCUAUGG